RNAcentral lists this ribosomal RNA (429 nucleotides) under Chloroflexota bacterium. Its description in RNAcentral is "Chloroflexi bacterium partial 16S ribosomal RNA". It matches the Rfam family "Bacterial small subunit ribosomal RNA", at positions 355 to 776 of the family's 1533-position model. The record is from RNAcentral. Lineage: Bacteria; Bacillati; Chloroflexota.
UGGGGAAUAUUGCACAAUUGGCGCAAGCCUGAUGCAGCCAUGCCGCGUGUAUGAAGAAGGCCUUCGGGUUGUAAAGUACUUUCAGUCGGGAGGAAGGUGUCAAGGUUAAUAACCUUGGCAAUUGACGUUACCGACAGAAGAAGCACCGGCUAACUCCGUGCCAGCAGCCGCGGUAAUACGGAGGGUGCAAGCGUUAAUCGGAAUUACUGGGCGUAAAGCGCACGCAGGCGGUUGAUUGAGUCAGAUGUGAAAUCACCGGGCUUAACCCGGGAAUUGCAUCUGAUACUGGUCAGCUAGAGUCUUGUAGAGGGGGGUAGAAUUCCAUGUGUAGCGGUGAAAUGAGUGGAGAUGUUGAGGAAUCCCGGUGGCGAAGGCGGACCCCUGGACAAAGACUGACGCUCAGGUGCGAAAGCGUGGGGAGCAAACAGG